Molecule: microRNA precursor, 83 nt
Filed under: Dipodomys ordii (Ord's kangaroo rat)
Lineage: Eukaryota; Metazoa; Chordata; Mammalia; Rodentia; Heteromyidae
Description: mir-3473 microRNA precursor family
Rfam family: mir-3473 microRNA precursor family
Source: Rfam by way of RNAcentral
ACCACUGAGCCACCUUCCCAGCCCUGUGUCUAUGUUUUUAAAAGAAUGAUUUUGGUUUUGGGCUGGGAAGGUGGCUCAGUGGU